This 437-nucleotide ribosomal RNA is filed under the name Rhodococcoides kroppenstedtii. RNAcentral's name for it is "bacterial SSU rRNA". It matches the Rfam family "Bacterial small subunit ribosomal RNA", at positions 67 to 521 of the family's 1533-position model. The record is from RNAcentral. Lineage: Bacteria; Bacillati; Actinomycetota; Actinomycetes; Mycobacteriales; Nocardiaceae.
CGGUAAGGCCCUUCGGGGUACACGAGUGGCGAACGGGUGAGUAACACGUGGGUGAUCUGCCCUGCACUUCGGGAUAAGCCCGGGAAACUGGGUCUAAUACCGGAUAGGACUGCGCGGUGCAUGCCGUGUGGUGGAAAGAUUUAUCGGUGCAGGAUGGGCCCGCGGCCUAUCAGCUUGUUGGUGGGGUAAUGGCCUACCAAGGCGACGACGGGUAGCCGGCCUGAGAGGGCGACCGGCCACACUGGGACUGAGACACGGCCCAGACUCCUACGGGAGGCAGCAGUGGGGAAUAUUGCACAAUGGGCGCAAGCCUGAUGCAGCGACGCCGCGUGAGGGAUGACGGCCUUCGGGUUGUAAACCUCUUUCAGCAGGGACGAAGCGUGAGUGACGGUACCUGCAGAAGAAGCACCGGCCAACUACUUGCCAGCCGCCGCGGG